This 3437-nucleotide long non-coding RNA is filed under the name Equus caballus (horse). RNAcentral describes it as "lncRNA (ENSECAG00000055352.1)". Lineage: Eukaryota; Metazoa; Chordata; Mammalia; Perissodactyla; Equidae. The record is from RNAcentral.
GGCUGUCUGCUGUCUGGUAGGAGGGCUUUGUCUGUGCCUUUCUCUCUCUGUUUCUUUCUGUUUUUCUUUCUCUCUCUCUCUCCUCUUCUCUCUCUCUCCCACUCGCUUGCUCUGUCUCUGUCUCUCUCUCCCUCUCUGCCCCCCCUCUCCCUCCCUCUCUCUUGCUCUCUCUCUCUCUUCCCGUCUCUGUGGUUUGUAAGGUAGGUUGCAGUGUGUGUAUAUACACAACAUCAAGAGCAGGAAAAUGGACUCAUUAGGGAGGCAGGCAGUCAUUACCACUCACACUGUACUUCCAGGGAGACACCGAUUAUGAGAAGAGAAACUCAGCGCUGGGGAAGAAGGGGCUAAAACCAUGAGUAAACGACUGAAAAAAAAGAAAAUGAAUCCACAAGCAUAAGGAAGAGGAAGCAAUAGAUGAAAGAAAUAUAAUUUUUGGAAGAUGUAAAGGAUGUAAAGGAUGGAGGAAUUCACAGAACUGAGAAAGCUAAAUACAAGUGCCUGGAGUGUGUUGUGCCAGUGAGAAAGCAAGCCAGUUCAUGCUCAAGAUCUGGCUCAAAAAUUGGAGGCAGCACUUCCUGUGGAAGACAAUAGCUGAAGUAAAAAUAAAUUAUAAUUAGUAUACUCAGAGAGAUAGGAGAAGAUAGUACUCCCAUGAAAUAUGACAGGAUGAUAUAAAAAAGGAAUAAUCAGAGAAUAAACAUUCAUAAUAGCUGAAAUAACUUUAAUAGAAGGAUUGAAAUUUUUCUGAAAAUAGAGCAAAAGGUCAAAUAAGUGGAAAAUAGGAAAGAAAAGAUAAAAGCAAACAGUCUAACAAGCCAAAAAUUUGAUUAAUAGGAGUAAACCGGGAAGAGAAAAGAAAAUGAUAGGGAAGAGAUUAUCAUAAAAUUCUAUAGUAAAAACUUUCAUAACUGAAGGACAUGAGCUUCCAGUUUGAAAGGGUCUACUGGGUGCCCAUAAAAAGUGUAAAGCAGAUCUAUAUCAAAGUACAUAACUGGAAAAUUUCAGAACACCAGCAAUAUAUAAUGAAAUAGAAGCUUCUAGAGAGAAAAUAUAAACCCUACAUGCACAUUGCCUCUAGAAUCAGAAUGAUGUCUGAUCUCUUAAUGGCAACAUUCAAAGCUAGAAAAUGUGGCUUUAAAAUUCUGAGGGAAAAUUACUUUUAACUUGUAGUUCCAAACUGUUGAUCAGGCAUGAGGAUAUUUUUAGAAAAAAGACAUUUUUAGACAUUUUAGACAUUUUUAGACACAUGAUCCUCUAAAUUUCCCUUUCAUUGUUGCUUUCUGAAGAAUCUUUUGGGGGAUGUGCUACGUAUAAGUCAGGAGAAACUGAGGAGAAAAGAAGAAGUUAGAGGAAUCAGGAAAUAAGUGAUGAGAAUGAUACAUGAAAGGUGAAGGGAAGUUCCUGGACAAUAGUUGGGCUUAAGAAUAACCUGUCUUUAGUUGAACAGGAAGAUGGAAAACUCCAGAAAGAGAUGUGUUCAGAAGGAAGAAUUGGAAUUGAUGGAAUGCUCCAUGUUUAAGAGUGUGAAAUAUUAUAUACAGAGAGGUUUUACAUUCUAUUGCAGAGCUGGAACGGGGGGCAAAAGUGGCAAUAUUGACUGUAGUAAGAAAAAUUGUUGCUCAAGGAAGGAAAUGUAUUAAAAAUUUACUAAUUGACUGAAUAUUGGGAGGAUGAAAGGAAAGGAAAUGGAUGAUAUAAGAGAGCUAAUCUUCAUCUUCCGUAAUAGGGAAUUUGUAGAUUAUGUCUAUAAUUUACAAAUCAAAAUAAGAAUAUAUGCAUAUUAUUUAGAGAUGAGAUAAGCACUAGAAAGAAUUUGACACGGUGUCUCAAAGGUUGGGAUAUGCGCUGCUGUUUUUUUAAUAUAAAUAUUGUGGUACUAUUUAACUAGUACACAAUAUACAUAUAUUACUUUGAAAACAAGAGAAGUGAUAGCUUCAAAAUUCUAACAGAUUAGGAAUACAAGUAUUUUGGAUUUUGAUUUUUCAGAUAGAAGCUUAACUCUUGAUGAAGUGUACAUAUUUUAGUUAUCUAGGAGGAAUUAAAUGGUUGAUACCCUGGCAUUGCUGAAAUGUGGAUAUUCUGUCUCUUGAGAGUAAAUAUUAUUUGGAGGGGUUUCCUCUUAUCCCUAUAAGGUAUACAUGUUGUUUUCAUGGUAGAAGGUAUGGUGAGAAAUCUAAAAGUUGUGCUACAAUUUUCAGAUUUUAAAUAUGUGUUCAAAAUAAAAGAAAGUCGUUAACUACUCAUGAAUAAGGAGAAAUAGAAACCAGGAGUAAACUUUCAUUUGAUUUGGUAGGUAUAGUUUUAUAAGACAAAUUAAACGUAGUUCAUUUGUUAAACAAAGAAUAGCUUUCCCUCGUUCCAAAUGAUGUCUAAAUACUUAAGAUUUUUUCCUAUCGAAAACUUCACAUGGCUAGUUCAUGCAUUCUCAGGGAAUGCUUUUAACUGUUCACUGACUCAUUACCUAUUCAUCUAUGGCUAAUGUAAAACCACUUUUGUUGUGGUUUACAAAAAUAUGGAGGUUAUGUGAUUCAGUGCAUACAGUUCAGAAUUUAGAUUAUCUUUCGAUAAUCAAAAACAUGCUUUGCCAAAAAAUCCAGUAUGAGUGUGCUCAAAAUAUCAAGUGCCUUUUGAAGUUUUUAAAUAAAAAACUCCAACAACAAAAACCUAACAACAAAUCAACAAAAAACCCCAAGAACAUGUCUUAUAAACAAAAGUGUUUCGCAGCCAUCCGUAAACCUCCUUGAGAAAACUUUUAGCACAUAAGAGAGGCAGAGACAGAGACCUAGUUAGAAAAGGAGGAAAUUUCUCUUUGAGUUCUUUUUUUAAACCAAGGACAUUUGGUUUUGAGAGGAGAAGGAGGAGAGAAGAAAUGAAGAAAGCACGUGAUUUGUCUCAAAGAUUUAUUUUGUAAUUGAUUGUAACUUAUAAAGGUUGUCAUUGAUAGUUGUAUGGGAGGGAGAAUUCUAAGUUUCAAUGCUGACACUUUGAAGAGUUGCCCUGUUGUUGCAGCUGCUUGGGCAGCCUUGCUCAAACAUCAAUGGUGCAUUGUGGCAGCUUGCUCUGCUUCCCUGUUUCUGAUGGACGUUCUCCAGGCAGUGAAGGGCAAAGGGGCUGGCAAUGCUGGUAACUGGCAUAAUAGAAGUUGUUGGACCAGUUUGGAGAGUAUGUGUGUGAACUGAACUCUUAAUGACAGAUUCUGUAUUAUGGUCAGUGUAAGUUCAGGGUCAGAAAGUACUUUCUGGUCAAUUAAUAGAGUUGGGAAUAUGUAUUUUCAUGUUGUCUCUCUGUGGCAUAGAGUACAUAUUAUUUAGAUUUCCUAAAGUAGUUGGUAAAAGGGACUAAUGUUUAUGGACUGAAAAAAAAUUGGUAUAUACUCAGAUAUAACUACACUGAAAUAUUUCAUCAUAAAAUAAAUAAUUGACUUUUACUGUUCAUAA